Molecule: ribosomal RNA, 429 nt
Filed under: Chloroflexota bacterium
Lineage: Bacteria; Bacillati; Chloroflexota
Description: Chloroflexi bacterium partial 16S ribosomal RNA
Rfam family: Bacterial small subunit ribosomal RNA
Source: RNAcentral
UGGGGAAUAUUGCACAAUGGGCGCAAGCCUGAUGCAGCCAUGCCGCGUGUGUGAAGAAGGCCUUCGGGUUGUAAAGCACUUUCAGCGGGGAGGAAGGCGUUAAGGUUAAUAACCUUGGCGAUUGACGUUACCCGCAGAAGAAGCACCGGCUAACUCCGUGCCAGCAGCCGCGGUAAUACGGAGGGUGCAAGCGUUAAUCGGAAUUACUGGGCGUAAAGCGCACGCAGGCGGUCUGUCAAGUCGGAUGUGAAAUCCCCGGGCUCAACCUGGGAACUGCAUUCGAAACUGGCAGGCUAGAGUCUUGUAGAGGGGGGUAGAAUUCCAGGUGUAGCGGUGAAAUGCGGAGAGAUCUGGAGGAAUACCGGUGGCGAAGGCGGCCCCCUGGACAAAGACUGACGCUCAGGUGCGAAAGCGUGGGGAGCAAACAGG